Molecule: ribosomal RNA, 563 nt
Filed under: uncultured fungus
Lineage: Eukaryota; Fungi
Description: eukaryotic LSU rRNA
Rfam family: 5.8S ribosomal RNA (bases 184-337)
Source: RNAcentral
CCGUGCCGUGCNCGCUCCGUCGUCCUUCAUUUCUCCAUCUAUCUUGUGCAUCGCUCGCGUCGACCUUAUGUGGGGACUGCUUUGCAAAAAAUCUUGCGGGCUUUCCUUGUNGUUCUUUUGGGUCUGCGGUUUAUUAUCUUCACACAUAUGUAUUCAGAAGGGAACAAUGGAAUGGCAUAAUACAACUUUCAGCAACGGAUCUCUUGGCUCUCGCAUCGAUGAAGAACGCAGCGAAAUGCGAUAAGUAAUGUGAAUUGCAGAAUUCAGUGAAUCAUCGAAUCUUUGAACGCAUCUUGCGCUCCUCGGUAUUCCGAGGAGCAUGCCUGUUUGAGUGUCAUUAAUAUCUCAACCAACGCUGAGGCGCUGGCUUGGACUUGGGGGUGGUGCAGGCUGUGGUCUGCUCCCCUGAAAUACAUGAGUGGCGAAACGACCUCUCUGUCUUAGGUGUGAUACACACAUAUCUGCAUCUGAUACGAGGGCCUUUGCUGCCGUACGAAUUGNNAGCUUUUGUUGAUUAAACUUGACCUCNAAUCAGGUAGGACCACCCGCUGAACUUAAGCAUA